RNAcentral lists this non-coding RNA (83 nucleotides) under Streptomyces curacoi. Lineage: Bacteria; Bacillati; Actinomycetota; Actinomycetes; Kitasatosporales; Streptomycetaceae. The record is from RNAcentral.
GGGGAAGUCCGGUGAGAGUCCGGCGCUGACCCGCAACGGUGUGCGUGGAGGACCUGUGGUCCGUCGCGCGAGCCCGAUUGCCC